GGGAAGAGGGGGUGAAACCUUCUUGCAUGAGAGUGGAGACGAGUGGGGCGUACUCGAACCAGAGGCCGAGGCGGUUGGAGAGGACUUCAAGGCGGCUACCGGUAUCGAGAGAGCGGAAGUGGGAGGGUAUUGGGGCGUUGGGUGAGGGUGGCCUGAAGGGUUGGUAAAGUUCUGGCUGCUGAGAGUGUCGUGGGGUUGAGGAGGAGGGGAUGAUGGUAGCUGAGAUUGGUUUUACAUGGGUUUUUAGGCGGUGGUGGUGAUGGCGGCGGUGGAGGAGGUGGUGGUGGGAGAGAGAAAGGGAGGCGGGAGCGUUGAGAGAGAGCAUGGUGAGGGGGGUGAAG
Molecule: long non-coding RNA, 341 nt
Filed under: Vitis vinifera (wine grape)
Lineage: Eukaryota; Viridiplantae; Streptophyta; Magnoliopsida; Vitales; Vitaceae
Description: long non-coding RNA (VVIN_LNC004545)
Source: RNAcentral